RNAcentral lists this transfer RNA (122 nucleotides) under Penicillium olsonii. RNAcentral's name for it is "tRNA-Met". It matches the Rfam family "tRNA". Rfam says of the family: Transfer RNA (tRNA) molecules are approximately 80 nucleotides in length. Their secondary structure includes four short double-helical elements and three loops (D, anti-codon, and T loops). Further hydrogen bonds mediate the characteristic L-shaped molecular structure. tRNAs have two regions of fundamental functional importance: the anti-codon, which is responsible for specific mRNA codon recognition, and the 3' end, to which the tRNAs corresponding amino acid is attached (by aminoacyl-tRNA synthetases). tRNAs cope with the degeneracy of the genetic code in two manners: having more than one tRNA (with a specific anti-codon) for a particular amino acid; and 'wobble' base-pairing, i.e. permitting non-standard base-pairing at the 3rd anti-codon position. Lineage: Eukaryota; Fungi; Ascomycota; Eurotiomycetes; Eurotiales; Aspergillaceae. The record is from RNAcentral.
CAGCAUGUUGGCUCAGAGGAAGCGCGUCGGGCUCAUAACCCGAAGGUACGAUCACUCCCGGAUCCCGAUUGAAUUCGAAACUAACCUAACCAGGUCCCUGGAUCGAAACCAGGACAUGCUAU